GAGUCUGCGUUCUCAUUAGCUAGUUGGUAGGGUAAUGGCCUACCAAGGCAACGAUGAGUAGCUGGUCUGAGAGGAUGAUCAGCCACACUGGAACUGAAACACGGUCCAGACUCCUACGGGAGGCAGCAGUGGGGAAUAUUGCGCAAUGGGCGAAAGCCUGACGCAGCAACGCCGUGUGAGGGAUGAAGGCUUUCGGGUCGUAAACCUCUGUCAGAAGGGAAGAACGGGCAUUGGUCUAAUAGGCCUUUGUUUUGACGGUACCUUCAGAGGAAGCACCGGCUAACUCCGUGCCAGCAGCCGCGGUAAUACGGAGGGUGCAAGCGUUAUUCGGAAUUACUGGGCGUAAAGCGCACGUAGGCGGCCUUGUAAGUCAGGGGUGAAAUCCCACGGCUCAACCGUGGAACUGCCUUUGAAACUGCAGGGCUUGAAUCCUGGAGAGGGUGGCGGAAUUCCUGGUGUAGGAGUGAAAUCCGUAGAUAUCAGGAGGAACACCGGUGGCG
RNAcentral lists this ribosomal RNA (500 nucleotides) under uncultured sulfate-reducing bacterium. Its description in RNAcentral is "bacterial SSU rRNA". It matches the Rfam family "Bacterial small subunit ribosomal RNA", at positions 227 to 717 of the family's 1533-position model. The record is from RNAcentral.